RNAcentral lists this long non-coding RNA (424 nucleotides) under Mytilus galloprovincialis (Mediterranean mussel). Lineage: Eukaryota; Metazoa; Mollusca; Bivalvia; Mytilida; Mytilidae. The record is from RNAcentral.
AAAUUAAGGCGAAGUGUACGUAAUUGCACGCCUCUAGCGGAAAACGGGAUUAAAAACGUUCGUCGUUAGUUACGCAAGUUAUCUCCCUUACUCCAAGAAAGGACACACGAAAGAGAAACUACUUUCUGCGGUCUAUAAUGAAUCCAACAAGCACUCCUAUGCUGUCUUAAACCUCAUAGAAAUUAUCUAAAUAACUCCAAUUAGAAGUCACAGCAUUCUGUACGUUGUUCUGUGUGCAGCCUGACUUAAAAACACUGUUUUUUUGUUUGUUUUAGACGCUAGGAGAAGGCAUUUCGUGUUUAUGAUAUCAACAGAAAGAAAAAACGCCUCACAACAAAAUUAUACACAAAUAAACAAUAUAAACACAUGUAACAAUUUUUCUUCUAUUGAUAUCAAAUUAAUUAAAAUGAAACCUGAAUUGACC